AAAGAGGCCUAUAUCUCUAACUUCUCUCUAGAUUUUCCAUCUCAUUUUCUUGCUACCCAAACAUCACAUCUUGCUCCACCCUUGCACCACAACCUCAACCCAUCAACACCACCACCGUCCACCUUAAUCUCACGUGAAAAAGCUCCGGCCAACCAUCUCGUUCUCUUUACGCGAUUAGCUCCAAAUCAAGCUCAAACUCUAAAUUUUAUCUCUUCAAGAAUCAAGGCUUGGGUUUGUGUUUCGUGAUGCAAUAGACGCCUAUAGUUGGUCUGGAGAAAGCAUUUUUACUCCUCAUUAGAUUUGUAGAUUUUCAACUAACCAUUUUGGCUUUUUGGAGGUGAGUAUACUUACCAUGGAAAUUCACGUUACCUCUAUUUGAAAUACAAAGUUUGAAAAUAUUUUUAAUUAAAGGAAGUGAAUGAAUUAAAUUACAUGUUUUAUCAUGAUAUGAGUACAUAUUGAAAAAUCUAUAAAUUUAUUGAGGUCAAAAGUUGAGUUUAAAUAAAUGAUUUCAUUUGUAUAAUGAAACAUCAAUUUUUCUGUAAGAUUUAUUUAAGUUGAGUCUUUCAAAUUUUGUGAUGAUGAUAAUGGAAUGACAACGAAACGUUAUGUGAAAAUAUUUCUUUUUAUUGAUCAUAUAAGCGAAUAUAGCCUAUGGGGCCACAAGGGCUGAAAUGCUUUGGGGUCCUAGGAACCAAAAUGUUUUUAAGACCAUAAGAGUCAUUGUACAUAAGGGGUCCUGGGGACCGAAAUAUUAACAUGAGGAUUAAAGUGCUAUGAUGACACGAGUUAUAUAUGUUCCUAUGGACAUCUUUUGGAUAACGGUACCGUCAUCACUUAAGUCGCAAGGUAAUACGACCCAAAGGCUAUGUAAUGGAUUGUAUGAUGGAUACGAGAUUUUAAUGUGUUGAAAAGUUGAUUUUUGUUUUAAUCCCUUUAUUUCAAAUGUAUUCUACCGCACUACAAUAUUCUUUAAAAAAUCUCAAUAAUGGUUUAUGCAAAGUUUUUGCUAUGUAUUAAUUUCAUUACAAUCAAGCUCUUAUAUAAAUUACCUUUAUUGUUGACCCAUUGGGAAAGAACAAGUUUUACAACUCCAUGGUAUUGGUAUACUUAUUGGGCUCUAGCUCAUUCUUUUUAAAUUAAAACUUUUUUAGAUUCCUAGACUAUAGUGUGGCUCACCUCAACUUGGAAGCUUAGAUUUUUUGAAGGAUCAAAGGAGGCCAUUUUGUAGUUGAGGUUUUGCAUAGGGUCACUUUAGGAUGUAGCUUUAUCUUUUGUAUUUUGAAGGAAGCUGAUUUGUAAAUAUUGUUGAUUAUGAAAUUUGAUGUAAAGAUGGAUUCAUGUUGGUGUUAUUAGGAAAAGAUACAUGAGAACAAAUUUAGAGGCAUGAUGAUAUUAUUUGUACUUGAAUGGAUCAACUAGUAUAUAAUAGUUGAUUGAAAGGUUUUAUGCACUA
Camellia sinensis is the source of this 1456-nucleotide non-coding RNA. The record is from RefSeq and is a predicted model, not a curated record. Lineage: Eukaryota; Viridiplantae; Streptophyta; Magnoliopsida; Ericales; Theaceae.